UAAUCUACUUCCCUCACCUUAUUGUUGUUAUUCUCAGAUGAAGCAAGUUUUUAUUAUGUCUUAAAUUGAUAAUUUGGUUAUUAAUAAAUCAGCUGUUAAAGCUUGAUAAAUUCAAUGUGUUUGUCAAUCAUCUUAGUUUAUCAGUCUAUUGGCAUGUUCGCUGAAACUUCAGAGUCAUAAUUCAUAAAACAACUAAGUUAAAAUCAAAAGUUUGACACAUAAAUCACUGACUUUUGGGAAACUUCUGACUUCUGAGAACAGAUAGGCAGCUGUGCCCAGCUUUUCCCUGCCAGCCGACCUCGCCUUGUCGUUGGUUGUUCCUAUGGUCAGCAUUGGGACUUGGAACAAAAACUGGAUGAUUUACCUACUUCUUGGAAGUGCUGCCCUUAUCCAUUCGAAUCCCUAAGCCCACUUUCUCUA
Molecule: long non-coding RNA, 420 nt
Filed under: Phoenix dactylifera (date palm)
Lineage: Eukaryota; Viridiplantae; Streptophyta; Magnoliopsida; Arecales; Arecaceae
Description: long non-coding RNA (PDAC_LNC000918)
Source: RNAcentral